RNAcentral lists this ribosomal RNA (253 nucleotides) under uncultured bacterium. RNAcentral's name for it is "partial 16S ribosomal RNA". It matches the Rfam family "Bacterial small subunit ribosomal RNA", at positions 524 to 776 of the family's 1533-position model. The record is from RNAcentral.
UACGAAGGGGGCUAGCGUUGUUCGGAAUUACUGGGCGUAAAGGGCGCGUAGGCGGUGUGUCAAGUCAGGCGUGAAAUCCCCGGGCCUAACCUGGGAACUGCAUUUGUGACUGCAUGGCUAGAGUUUGGCAGAGGGGGGUGGAAUUCCACGUGUAGCAGUGAAAUGCGUAGAUAUGGGGAGGAACACCCAUGGCGAAGGCAGCCCCCUGGGAUGUGCCUGACGCUCAUGUACGAAAGCCGGGGGAGCAAACAGG